Molecule: ribosomal RNA, 502 nt
Filed under: Streptomyces sp. E5
Lineage: Bacteria; Bacillati; Actinomycetota; Actinomycetes; Kitasatosporales; Streptomycetaceae
Description: bacterial SSU rRNA
Rfam family: Bacterial small subunit ribosomal RNA
Source: RNAcentral
UGGAGAGUUUGAUCCUGGCUCAGGACGAACGCUGGCGGCGUGCUUAACACAUGCAAGUCGAACGAUGAAGCCGCUUCGGUGGUGGAUUAGUGGCGAACGGGUGAGUAACACGUGGGCAAUCUGCCCUGCACUCUGGGACAAGCCCUGGAAACGGGGUCUAAUACCGGAUAUGACACGGGAUCGCAUGGUCUCCGUGUGGAAAGCUCCGGCGGUGCAGGAUGAGCCCGCGGCCUAUCAGCUUGUUGGUGGGGUGAUGGCCUACCAAGGCGACGACGGGUAGCCGGCCUGAGAGGGCGACCGGCCACACUGGGACUGAGACACGGCCCAGACUCCUACGGGAGGCAGCAGUGGGGAAUAUUGCACAAUGGGCGCAAGCCUGAUGCAGCGACGCCGCGUGAGGGAUGACGGCCUUCGGGUUGUAAACCUCUUUCAGCAGGGAAGAAGCGCGAGUGACGGUACCUGCAGAAGAAGCACCGGCAACUACGUGCCAGCAGCCGCGGUA